AGGUCAAGCUGUGAAGAGCGCAAGGGGAAUGCCUUGGCACUGAGAGCCGAUGAAGGACGCGACAAGCUGCGAUAAGC
RNAcentral lists this ribosomal RNA (77 nucleotides) under Clostridiaceae bacterium. Its description in RNAcentral is "partial 23S ribosomal RNA". It matches the Rfam family "Bacterial large subunit ribosomal RNA", at positions 1 to 76 of the family's 2925-position model. The record is from RNAcentral. Lineage: Bacteria; Bacillati; Bacillota; Clostridia; Eubacteriales; Clostridiaceae.